AAUAGAAAAUAUCUGCUACUAAGAUCUCCCUCCACUCAAAAAUAUAUAUAGAUUCAAAUACUUAAGUCACCUUUCCACAUCCCUAGGUGCAUCUUUCCAUCAUCCAUUUCUUGGACCCAUACGUUCCACUUCUAAGUUAUUUAAAGGUACAGUCACUCCCACUUCUAAGAAACCGCACGAAGGAAGGGUUACGAUUAUUCACGAACGGAACCCUGAACCCCACGGAGUAGGAGAAAGCAGAGUAGGCGGAGAGACUGUUUACCAAAUGGGGGAGACCGGCGAACGCACCGAUCGGACGGUUAUCUGCAUAGGAGACAUCCAUGGCUACUUUUCCAAGCUUCAGCUCCUCUGGUCCAACCUCGAGGCCGCCGUCGGCGCCGCCGCCUUCGAGGCGGCGCUCGUCAUCUUUCUCGGCGACUACUGUGACCGCGGCCCGGACACCCACCAGGUGCUCGACUUCCUCCUCUCCCUCCCCUCCCGCUACCCGCGCCAGCGCUACGUCUUCCUCUGCGGCAACCACGACCUCGCCUUCGCCGCCUUCGUGGGCGCCCUUCCCCCGCCGCCGGACGGCUCGCCGUUUUCCGCCACGUGGGCGGAGUACCAGCAGAGCGAGGAGCGGGAGGGGUGGUUCAAAGGGGAGGGCUACGAGGCGAUGCACGUGCAGGGGAGGCGGUGGGGUGGGAACAUGGGGGGCCACUGGAACCCUAAGAAGGGCAUGCCCUACAAGGGAUCUAUCUAUGAUGCCGGCCCGACCUUCGAAUCCUAUGGCGUCCCCCAUGGAUUGGCGGAUUUGGUUAAAGCAGUCCCUGAUAAUCACAAGAAGUUUCUUGCUGACUUGGUUUGGGUUCAUGAGGAGGACAAUGUUUUAAUUGACACUUCUGAGGGAAGGAUCUGCUGCAAACUAAUAGCUGUUCACGCUGGCUUGGAGAUAUCCAAAGGCGUCGAUGAGCAGCUAAAACUUCUAAGAGCCAGGGACACAAGCCUGCCGAAGGUGGAAGAUCUUAGUGGGAGGCAUAAUGUUUGGGAAAUACCAAAGCAUGGAUACCUUCAUACCAUUCUAGUAUGAGUACAUCCAAUAAAAUCAGAAAAGAGAAGAAGGCGAAGAGGAGAAGGUGAGGACUUCAAACUAUACUACAGGAAACCACCAGACUGCUGGGCGACGUGCGAAGCCAACCAAUCAGCCGCCCUAUUCACCUUCCGCUACAUAUAAGUGACACAAGCAUCCACACAAUCCUGUAGAAGACCACGGAUAUCGUAUAUAAGAGGAUGUCGAAUAAAAUCAGAAAAGAGAAGAAGGCGAAGAGGAGAAGGAGCUGUCUGAAAAGCCAACCAUAGUGGUGAGCGGUCACCAUGGGAAACUACAUGUUGAAGGCCUUCGGUUCAUUAUUGAUGAAUGUGGCGGCUUAGAAGACCUACCAAUUGCUGCUAUAAUAUUUCCUUCCAAGAUGAUAGUCCGUGAUACAGAUAAAUUUGCAGCGCAGAACUAAGUUUAUCACAAGCAGGUUUUCAGAUUCAAUAUGUACCCAUAGCUAUACGUGUUACUCAAGGACAAGUGUAUAACUUGCAUGUGCCGUGCACCAAAAUUAAAACAAGUGGGCAGCUGUGUUAUUGUGGGAUUGAAUAUGAGGUCUUUAAGUAACACUUAAAAAAUCUCACCUAUGAUCUUUCAACAAGCCUGCUUCAUAGGCUUCGUCGGAAGCAAUCUAGCUUCCUUGUAUUCAGUGAGGGUUAAUGAUAGUGUUUCAGUAAAAUAGGCUUCAAGCAUCAUAAAGGCCUUGGCAGUGUUCUUUCAACUACGUGUAUAAUUGCAUAUUUGCAUAACCCUCCUUUUUAUUUAUAUUUAUAUAAUUUUCAUACCUAGAUUUA
Phoenix dactylifera (date palm) is the source of this 1866-nucleotide non-coding RNA. The record is from RefSeq and is a predicted model, not a curated record. NCBI's taxonomy places the organism in Eukaryota, Viridiplantae, Streptophyta, Magnoliopsida, Arecales, Arecaceae.